UGGAUUGGCCAAUUGCGGACA
This 21-nucleotide non-coding RNA is filed under the name Caenorhabditis elegans. Lineage: Eukaryota; Metazoa; Nematoda; Chromadorea; Rhabditida; Rhabditidae. The record is from RNAcentral.